This 491-nucleotide ribosomal RNA is filed under the name uncultured bacterium. Its description in RNAcentral is "partial 16S ribosomal RNA". It matches the Rfam family "Bacterial small subunit ribosomal RNA", at positions 29 to 507 of the family's 1533-position model. The record is from RNAcentral.
GUGAACGCUGGCGGUAGGCCUAACACAUGCAAGUCGAACGGCAGCACAGUAAGAGCUUGCUCUUACGGGUGGCGAGUGGCGGACGGGUGAGGAAUACAUCGGAAUCUACUUUUUCGUGGGGGAUAACGUAGGGAAACUUACGCUAAUACCGCAUACGACCUACGGGUGAAAGCAGGGGAUCUUCGGACCUUGCGCGAUUGAAUGAGCCGAUGUCGGAUUAGCUAGUUGGCGGGGUAAAGGCCCACCAAGGCGACGAUCCGUAGCUGGUCUGAGAGGAUGAUCAGCCACACUGGAACUGAGACACGGUCCAGACUCCUACGGGAGGCAGCAGUGGGGAAUAUUGGAUAAUGGGCGCAAGCCUGAUCCAGCCAUACCGCGUGGGUGAAGAAGGCCUUCGGGUUGUAAAGCCCUUUUGUUGGGAAAGAAAAGCAGCAGGUUAAUACCCCGCUGUUCUGACGGUACCCAAAGAAUAAGCACCGGCUAACUUCGUG